Onychostruthus taczanowskii (white-rumped snowfinch) is the source of this 1826-nucleotide long non-coding RNA. RefSeq lists it as uncharacterized. The transcript has 4 exons. The record is from RefSeq and is a predicted model, not a curated record. NCBI's taxonomy places the organism in Eukaryota, Metazoa, Chordata, Aves, Passeriformes, Passeridae.
UGAAACUCAACUAGUUUCCUGCCAACCCUUCCUUGCUGCUCCCAGAAUACAUCCCUUGUUCCUCUCCGUUCAAAUGCCCGCGCGAGAUUGCUUUCCAGUCUUUGUAUAAAGUUGGAAAAGUGCCACAGUGGAGAUGUCCAAAUACGUUUCACCGUCAGAGAGAAGGAUCUAGAACACAAGGGGAAGUCUGACAGGGCAAUCAAAGCAGAAUAUUCUCCCCAGCUCUGCUUCUGACCAGAAUGAAUCAAAUACAAUACUCCUAAUUUUCAUGGCCAAGAGAAGAGACCAUCAGCAGUGAAGAGUUGAGCGCAAGGAGGCAGCUGAGCCGUGCUUCACAAUUCAUCACUCCCAUGGAGGAAACAGUGAACGGCAAGACAAGAAUGUUUGCUGACUGUGCAAAACCUUUUUAAGUUAGCAGGGGUGAGGGUCAUCUGUAAAGAAUUUUGGGUGAUUAGGCAAUAAAAAAGUAGAUUAAAUAGAGAGUAGAUAAAUGCAAGGUGAUGUUAUAACUAGUCAUAACUUUACAUAAAAUGUAGGAAUACCUGAAUCAGUUGAUGCCACUCAGUAGUGAGACUUAAGUGUGUAUGCCCUGCAUGAAUGCCAUCUUUAUGUUUGGAAAAGCAAGGCACAUUUCAAGGAAAGGGACAGAGAACAAAACCAGGAACACAUUUAUGGCAGUCCCGAAAUCUGUCGUGAAUUUGCUCAGUGAGUACUGUUCCCUGUUGCGUUUCGAAAAUGCUGGAACUAGAAAAGAAUAACAAGGAUGCUCAGCUGUCUGACUUUGUGUCCCUUGAAAGAGACAAUUGAGGUUUGGAGUUCUCACCAAAGAGUGAGGAUGCAUGAGGCCCGUCACGUCCUAUGUAAUGGGUGGAUGCCAGCUGACUUUCUGAGUACAAACCAUCAGAUUUGCCCAAGUCUAAAUAGGCAAGAGGAGAUGGUUCUUCAUUUGGUGCCUUUCUGAAUGGCAUGCUGAGUACAGGCUGUUUCUCUAGGGUGCAGGGAAGAUAGGCCAAGUAUUUGGAAGAGGACUGUGUUGAGAGUUAAUGAAUGAACACCCCCUCACGCUCAGGAAAUUCCCUGAGCUGAAAGCAGUUGGUAGCUGUGGGAGUGUUGCAGAGAAGAUAUCAUAUAUUUGCCUUGCUUUUCCUCUUCCUUUGACGUUUGCCUGUGGCCUGUGGUGGAAACAGGAUGUUGGACUGAAUGGGUUCUUCAUCCGAGGCAGUACACCUCUUCCUCUGUAUUCAUGAGGAUCACACUGAGCCACGUGAUAGCAAUAAGCCUGUGCAAUGGGGGUCUUUCCAACCAAAUUCACUGUUCAUCUACACCAGGAGUUACUUACGGAGCAGCUGCUGGGCAUGUAUUUCUAUUUUGCCUCAUGAUGAACUUCCUUCUCUCUGUCCUCAAAAAUCUUAGUAGCAAUAUGCAUACAGCUGCAUUGCAGUUGCAUACCUACAACCAAACCAUCCUUUUGUCCUUCCUCAGUAGAAAAUACACGUUCCAUGAGAAACAGACCUGUCUUACUUUUUGAUGAGUUUGUCUUUUGAAGGAGCAACUAUGGACAAAAAUCUCUUUACGCCUCUCCCCCCCCCUCCCACCUAUCCCUCAGCCUCUGUUUGGGGUUCAUGUGGUAGCAUCAAUUUUAGCCACAUUCAAAUUCAGUAGCCAGAAGCUGGCUGGCCAAUACACACAGGCUGUUGGGCUGCUGCCUCGGAGCAUGACUAAGGUAUUGGAUUUUGUCCAGUGAUUUCAAAUGCUUUUUGAAUGGGAGAGAACAGUUCACUUGCAUCCUUAGGAAUGUAGGGCAAAAAAUACCAUGCCAUUUGUGA